UUUCAUCUUUUCUUGUUUUACGUGCAAUUUAGGGACCAAUCGUGUCGGGCAAAAGACCUUCAAAGCAAAAUUUAGCCGUCUCCAGUAACCUUAACCCAAUUGUAAAAAAUUAAGCACAUUUUAGUUCUGAGAAGAUCAGGAAAACUGAUUGGGCAGAGCAGAAAGUGGUUCUCAGGCAAGGCGAAAAGCAUAUUGGUCUUCAUUUGGACAAUGUUGUUAAUAUGAAUCAAGUCAUUGAACGAAGGAAUCUCCUACUCUGAUUUCCUCCGAUGCAAAUUUCCUGUGUUACUCGUGCUUGAUCAUUUGAUACCAGUUAGUUAAUGGAGGCGACAAAGAUUUUCAUUUCUCUGUUAUGAUUUGAGCAUGCUUCAAGAUUUGAUUAAAGAAGAUUGUGUAGCAAGAACCAUAAUUGAGAAGGAAACAAUUGUUGAACACCUCUAGCAUCUUUGAAGGCAGUAAAUUCGAUUUAAGGAUGUUCGAAUGACCAUGAUCAAGUCAAUAAAUAGCCUGCCCUGCUGCCAGAAUAAUUACACAAUUUUCAUUGUAAACGUUCUCCACUUUGAAUCCCAUUCUUCGUCUUUCUCAUUCUGAUAUUAUUUUCGAAGUGAAAAAUACUCCACUAAGUUCGUUGGAACUCUCAUGGAUUACUGUGCUGUUUUUGUAAGAGGCGAUAUUCGUUCUCUCUUGAAAAACGAUUGUUGAACACCUUUCGCAUAUGAAUUAAUG
Molecule: long non-coding RNA, 726 nt
Organism: Olea europaea var. sylvestris
Lineage: Eukaryota; Viridiplantae; Streptophyta; Magnoliopsida; Lamiales; Oleaceae
Exons: 4
Source: RefSeq, a predicted model, not a curated record